RNAcentral lists this ribosomal RNA (252 nucleotides) under uncultured bacterium. RNAcentral's name for it is "partial 16S ribosomal RNA". It matches the Rfam family "Bacterial small subunit ribosomal RNA", at positions 524 to 776 of the family's 1533-position model. The record is from RNAcentral.
UACGUAGGGGGCAAGCGUUGUCCGGAAUUAUUGGGCGUAAAGAGCGUGUAGGCGGUCCGGUAAGUCAGCUGUGAAAGUCAAGGGCUCAACCCUUGAAUGCCGGUUGAUACUGUCGGGCUAGAGUCCGGAAGAGGCGAGUGGAAUCCCGGUGUAGCGGUGAAAUGCGCAGAUAUCGGGAGGAACACCAAUGGCGAAGGCAGCUCGCUGGGACGGUACUGACGCUGAGACGCGAAAGCGUGGGGAGCAAACAGG